AAGACUUUGAGCGCAUGAGAUGUAAAAUCUCGGCAUCUAGGCUUGUUAGCUUGGGGUCAAAACAUGUGGUUUAAUCCUUUCCAAUGAAAGGUUCCACAGAUACCAAGCGAAGAACCGCCUUAGGCAUCUAGUACGUCAAAAACUCAAAGGAGUAGAAUGUUACAUUGCUCUUGCAUACAAAACCAAGCUGUUAUGAGACUCGAUAGAGGUCACAAACGAUGCUUUUAAUGGUUUGUCCCUUCGGAUUGAUCAUACAUAAUCCGGAAAGACCGCGAAUUGAUCAAACACAAUUCGGAAAAAAUAGCCUCGGAUUGAUCAAACACAAUCCGGUGAAAGGACGGGGUUGGAUCAAACACAACCCGGACAAAGAAACAAGAGUGAUCCAACAUACUCUUGACCCGCGAAUAAAAUUCCAGGAUUUUUGGUACCUGCACACACAAAAUCCCAAGCAGAGAAUGGAGAUGGAGAAGGGAGGAAAGGAUUUUAUCCUCCCCGAGUUAUUGAACUUGGAAGAGUUUAAGGUUUCAAAAAACAUACCUUUCUAGAGGCUGCGGAGAGGAGAAAUAACGUUUCGCCUACUUAUACUUCGAAUUUGGGGCUGAAAAUUUGAUAGGAGGAGAAGCUCUGGAUGGGGAAGCUGCUGUCAAAAUUUCAGGUUGAUC
This 662-nucleotide long non-coding RNA is filed under the name Fragaria vesca (wild strawberry). Its description in RNAcentral is "long non-coding RNA (FVES_LNC005194)". Lineage: Eukaryota; Viridiplantae; Streptophyta; Magnoliopsida; Rosales; Rosaceae. The record is from RNAcentral.